AUGGCGAGAUCGAUGCUGUCCGUCCAUGAUGCACUCUCUCUUCAUCACGCCAAGAUGAGAUGUUGUCCGUCCGUGAUUCUCUCCCUCUUCAUCGAGAUCAAUAUGCCGCCGCUUGUUUGUGUAUUGGAGCGUCGCUCAUCUACACCAACCAAUGUCCUCGGCUAUUCCGCCGAUGAGGCAUUUACUUCUUCCAAGGUCGCCGUUACUAUCGGCACACUCAUAGAGCCCCUUUUGCAGGCUCGUCAUCAUAUCAACCGGAUCAAUAGUAGAUUCAUCAUCCGAAGGAGGUGCCAAAGCCACGUUUGUUCGGUUAUUGUCUGCACCAACUUCUUCAUCAACAUCUUCGUUACAAGUCCCUGUUGUAUAAGGGACAUGACGAGUCAGGAGGUGCUUAGCCAUGGAUAUCCGGCUGCCAUCUACACCAACUGUCAUCGUCAACUCUUUGUUACUUUGAUCCCAUCAAGUCAGGAGGUGCCCAGCCAUGGAUAUUCGGCUGUUGUGUACACCAACUGACUUGACCAAC
Molecule: long non-coding RNA, 523 nt
Filed under: Oryza sativa Indica Group (long-grained rice)
Lineage: Eukaryota; Viridiplantae; Streptophyta; Magnoliopsida; Poales; Poaceae
Description: lncRNA OsMH63_05G009000
Source: RNAcentral